Molecule: small RNA, 348 nt
Filed under: Histoplasma capsulatum var. duboisii H88
Lineage: Eukaryota; Fungi; Ascomycota; Eurotiomycetes; Onygenales; Ajellomycetaceae
Description: Histoplasma capsulatum H88 hypothetical RNA
Source: RNAcentral
GAUCAAGCGUUGGAUGCUAAGGAGGUUUUCACGCAGGAGCAUGGGAGCAUGGAAGAGUAUCCAAAUCCCUACAGACAUACCGAUAAUGUCAUUGCACAAUGCGAGGAGGCUGAUGAUCUGGGGAAAAGCGACAUCAUUCGCACAAAUUUUUUGGAUAAAUUGAUACUAGCAGGCUUCGAUGUUCCGAGGCUUACGCUGUAGUGCUGACCACCAAUCAAUGAGAAAUCCCAAAGCCCACGAUAAACCGGCACACAAUCUUUUCUUUCCCUGAAGAUACAUAGCCUUAACACGCCGCACAGCGAUAGGGCGAAGGGAAGUUUUGGUUUCGAUCCAGGGCAACAUUCUCAC